GGGUUGUGAGGUUAAGCGACUAAGCGUACACGGUGGAUGCCCUGGCAGUCAGAGGCGAUGAAGGGCGUGCUAAUCUGCGAUAAGCGCCGGUAAGGUGAUAUGAACCGUUAUAACCGGCGAUACCCGAAUGGGGAAACCCAGUGUGACUCGUCACACUAUCAUUAACUGAAUCCAUAGGUUAAUGAGGCGAACCGGGGGAACUGAAACAUCUAAGUACCCCGAGGAAAAGAAAUCAACCGAGAUUCCCCCAGUAGCGGCGAGCGAACGGGGAGGAGCCCAGAGCCUGAAUCAGCAUGUGUGUUAGUGGAAGCGUCUGGAAAGGCGCGCGAUACAGGGUGACAGCCCCGUACACAAAAGCGCAUGUGCUGUGAGCUCGAUGAGUAGGGCGGGACACGUGAUAUCCUGUCUGAAUAUGGGGGGACCAUCCUCCAAGGCUAAAUACUCCUGACUGACCGAUAGUGAACCAGUACCGUGAGGGAAAGGCGAAAAGAACCCCGGCGAGGGGAGUGAAAAAGAACCUGAAACCGUGUACGUACAAGCAGUGGGAGCACCCUUUGGGGUGUGACUGCGUACCUUUUGUAUAAUGGGUCAGCGACUUAUAUUCUGUAGCAAGGUUAACCGAAUAGGGGAGCCGGAGGGAAACCGAGUCUUAACCGGGCGUUAAGUUGCAGGGUAUAGACCCGAAACCCGGUGAUCUAGCCAUGGGCAGGUUGAAGGUUGGGUAACACUAACUGGAGGACCGAACCGACUAAUGUUGAAAAAUUAGCGGAUGACCUGUGGCUGGGGGUGAAAGGCCAAUCAAACCGGGAGAUAGCUGGUUCUCCCCGAAAGCUAUUUAGGUAGCGCCUCGUGAAUUCAUCUCCGGGGGUAGAGCACUGUUUCGGCUAGGGGGCCAUCCCGGCUUACCAACCCGAUGCAAACUGCGAAUACCGGAGAAUGUUAUCACGGGAGACACACGGCGGGUGCUAACGUCCGUCGUGAAGAGGGAAACAACCCAGACCGCCAGCUAAGGUCCCAAAGUCAUGGUUAAGUGGGAAACGAUGUGGGAAGGCCCAGACAGCCAGGAUGUUGGCUUAGAAGCAGCCAUCAUUUAAAGAAAGCGUAAUAGCUCACUGGUCGAGUCGGCCUGCGCGGAAGAUGUAACGGGGCUAAACCAUGCACCGAAGCUGCGGCAGCGAACGUAUCACUUAAAGCGAUUCAGCGGGUUACGAUUGACGGAGCGAAGCGACGUCAAAGCGUAUACAAAGUCGAGUCGGUUUAAGGAUACGUUCGUUGGGUAGGGGAGCGUUCUGUAAGCCUGUGAAGGUGUGUCGUGAGGCAUGCUGGAGGUAUCAGAAGUGCGAAUGCUGACAUAAGUAACGAUAAAGCGGGUGAAAAGCCCGCUCGCCGGAAGACCAAGGGUUCCUGUCCAACGUUAAUCGGGGCAGGGUGAGUCGACCCCUAAGGCGAGGCCGAAAGGCGUAGUCGAUGGGAAACGGGUUAAUAUUCCCGUACUUGGUGUUACUGCGAAGGGGGGACGGAGAAGGCUAUGUUGGCCGGGCGACGGUUGUCCCGGUUUAAGCGUGUAGGUGUGUGUUCCAGGUAAAUCCGGUUCACUUUAACACUGAGGCGUGACGACGAGGCACUACGGUGCUGAAGCAACAAAUGCCCUGCUUCCAGGAAAAGCCUCUAAGCAUCAGGUAACAUCAAAUCGUACCCCAAACCGACACAGGUGGUCAGGUAGAGAAUACCAAGGCGCUUGAGAGAACUCGGGUGAAGGAACUAGGCAAAAUGGUGCCGUAACUUCGGGAGAAGGCACGCUGACACGUAGGUGAAGUGAUUUACUCAUGGAGCUGAAGUCAGUCGAAGAUACCAGCUGGCUGCAACUGUUUAUUAAAAACACAGCACUGUGCAAACACGAAAGUGGACGUAUACGGUGUGACGCCUGCCCGGUGCCGGAAGGUUAAUUGAUGGGGUCAGCGCAAGCGAAGCUCCUGAUCGAAGCCCCGGUAAACGGCGGCCGUAACUAUAACGGUCCUAAGGUAGCGAAAUUCCUUGUCGGGUAAGUUCCGACCUGCACGAAUGGCGUAAUGAUGGCCAGGCUGUCUCCACCCGAGACUCAGUGAAAUUGAACUCGCUGUGAAGAUGCAGUGUACCCGCGGCAAGACGGAAAGACCCCGUGAACCUUUACUAUAGCUUGACACUGAACAUUGAGCCUUGAUGUGUAGGAUAGGUGGGAGGCUUUGAAGCGUGGACGCCAGUCUGCGUGGAGCCGACCUUGAAAUACCACCCUUUAAUGUUUGAUGUUCUAACGUGGACCCGUGAUCCGGGUUGCGGACAGUGUCUGGUGGGUAGUUUGACUGGGGCGGUCUCCUCCUAAAGAGUAACGGAGGAGCACGAAGGUUGGCUAAUCCUGGUCGGACAUCAGGAGGUUAGUGCAAUGGCAUAAGCCAGCUUGACUGCGAGCGUGACGGCGCGAGCAGGUGCGAAAGCAGGUCAUAGUGAUCCGGUGGUUCUGAAUGGAAGGGCCAUCGCUCAACGGAUAAAAGGUACUCCGGGGAUAACAGGCUGAUACCGCCCAAGAGUUCAUAUCGACGGCGGUGUUUGGCACCUCGAUGUCGGCUCAUCACAUCCUGGGGCUGAAGUAGGUCCCAAGGGUAUGGCUGUUCGCCAUUUAAAGUGGUACGCGAGCUGGGUUUAGAACGUCGUGAGACAGUUCGGUCCCUAUCUGCCGUGGGCGCUGGAGAACUGAGGGGGGCUGCUCCUAGUACGAGAGGACCGGAGUGGACGCAUCACUGGUGUUCGGGUUGUCAUGCCAAUGGCACUGCCCGGUAGCUAAAUGCGGAAGAGAUAAGUGCUGAAAGCAUCUAAGCACGAAACUUGCCCCGAGAUGAGUUCUCCCUGAGACUUAAAGUCUCCUGAAGGAACGUUGAAGACGACGACGUUGAUAGGCCGGGUGUGUAAGCGCAGCGAUGCGUUGAGCUAACCGGUACUAAUGAACCGUGAGGCUUAACCUUACAACGCCGAAG
RNAcentral lists this ribosomal RNA (3008 nucleotides) under Salmonella enterica subsp. enterica serovar Newport str. CDC 2012K-0938. RNAcentral describes it as "23S ribosomal RNA". It matches the Rfam family "Bacterial large subunit ribosomal RNA". Lineage: Bacteria; Pseudomonadati; Pseudomonadota; Gammaproteobacteria; Enterobacterales; Enterobacteriaceae. The record is from RNAcentral.